This 515-nucleotide ribosomal RNA is filed under the name uncultured bacterium. RNAcentral's name for it is "partial 16S ribosomal RNA". It matches the Rfam family "Bacterial small subunit ribosomal RNA", at positions 28 to 523 of the family's 1533-position model. The record is from RNAcentral.
GAUGAACGCUGGCGGCGUGCCUAAUACAUGCAAGUCGAGCGAAUGGAUUAAGAGCUUGCUCUUAUGAAGUUAGCGGCGGACGGGUGAGUAACACGUGGGUAACCUGCCCAUAAGACUGGGAUAACUCCGGGAAACCGGGGCUAAUACCGGAUAACAUUUUGAACCGCAUGGUUCGAAAUUGAAAGGCGGCUUCGGCUGUCACUUAUGGAUGGACCCGCGUCGCAUUAGCUAGUUGGUGAGGUAACGGCUCACCAAGGCAACGAUGCGUAGCCGACCUGAGAGGGUGAUCGGCGACACUGGGACUGAGACACGGCCCAGACUCCUACGGGAGGCAGCAGUAGGGAAUCUUCCGCAAUGGACGAAAGUCUGACGGAGCAACGCCGCGUGAGUGAGGAAGGCUUUCGGGUCGUAAAACUCUGUUGUUAGGGAAGAACAAGUGCUAGUUGAAUAAGCUGGCACCUUGACGGUACCUGACCAGAAAGCCACGGCUAACUACGUGCCAGCAGCCGCCGUAA